GUGAACUCUCAAUUUCUCUGUAAACUUUGCUAGAUUUCUCUCAUCUUGAGAGCUGGCUUAUCGUUUGGGUGUUUUCUAUGAACAUCGAUUCGAUUGUUACUGGUUACGGAGUUUAAUCUGAGUUUCUUAUUAUUCAUUGGAGUGAUCGGAGGUUUCGCUGUAUCAUUCAGACAAGUAUCCAUGUUUCUCUUGUUGGGGAUGCUGCAAGCACUUCUUGAAAAAUGGUUCAAAAUUACAGAAACUCUGUUUAUCCAAGACCACAAACUUAUAGUUCUUGUUACUGUGUAAUUUGGUUAUAUGUUGUAGAUCAACAAAAUCUUUUUACGUGAGUAAUAUCCAACAUGAUUCUAAGAGAAUCUAACAUCAGGCUGUAUGUGAAAUGCUACCGAAGCAACUAAAACCCAAUACUAAGCCAAGCAUUCAAAGAAGAUACUGUGUUGGGAUCUUGUCAAUAAGCUUCUUUAUUCUUAGUGAAAUCCUAGUGACA
This 487-nucleotide unclassified non-coding RNA is filed under the name Arabidopsis thaliana (thale cress). The record is from RNAcentral. Lineage: Eukaryota; Viridiplantae; Streptophyta; Magnoliopsida; Brassicales; Brassicaceae.